Molecule: ribosomal RNA, 409 nt
Filed under: bacterium
Lineage: Bacteria
Also listed under: 1 other name
Description: partial 16S ribosomal RNA
Rfam family: Bacterial small subunit ribosomal RNA
Source: RNAcentral
UGGGGAAUAUUGCACAAUGGGCGAAAGCCUGAUGCAGCGACGCCGCGUGAGGGAUGACGGCCUUCGGGUUGUAAACCUCUUUCAGCAGGGACGAAGCGCAAGUGACGGUACCUGCAGAAGAAGCACCGGCUAACUACGUGCCAGCAGCCGCGGUAAUACGUAGGGUGCAAGCGUUGUCCGGAAUUACUGGGCGUAAAGAGUUCGUAGGCGGUUUGUCGCGUCGUUUGUGAAAACCAGGAGCUCAACUGCUGGCUUGCAGGCGAUACGGGCAGACUUGAGUACUGCAGGGGAGACUGGAAUUCCUGGUGUAGCGGUGAAAUGCGCAGAUAUCAGGAGGAACACCGGUGGCGAAGGCGGGUCUCUGGGCAGUAACUGACGCUGAGGAACGAAAGCGUGGGUAGCGAACAGG